GGGUUGUGAGGUUAAGUGACUAAGCGUACACGGUGGAUGCCUAGGCAGUCAGAGGCGAUGAAGGGCGUGCUAAUCUGCGAAAAGCGUCGGUAAGGUGAUAUGAACCGUUAUAACCGGCGAUACCCGAAUGGGGAAACCCAGUGUGUUUCGACACACUAUCAUGUCAUGAAUACAUAGUGGCAUGAGGCGAACCGGGGGAACUGAAACAUCUAAGUACCCCGAGGAAAAGAAAUCAACCGAGAUUCCCCCAGUAGCGGCGAGCGAACGGGGAGGAGCCCAGAACCUGAAUCGGCUUGUGUGUUAGUGGAAGCGUCUGGAAAGUCGCGCAGUAAAGGGUGAUAGCCCCGUACACUAAAAUGCACAGGUCGUGAGUUCGAUGAGUAGGGCGGGACACGUGACAUCCUGUCUGAAUAUGGGGGGACCAUCCUCCAAGGCUAAAUACUCCUGACUGACCGAUAGUGAACCAGUACCGUGAGGGAAAGGCGAAAAGAACCCCGGCGAGGGGAGUGAAAUAGAACCUGAAACCGUGUACGUACAAGCAGUGGGAGCACCUUCGUGGUGUGACUGCGUACCUUUUGUAUAAUGGGUCAGCGACUUAUAUUUUGUAGCAAGGUUAACCGUAUAGGGGAGCCGUAGGGAAACCGAGUCUUAACUGGGCGAAUAGUUGCAAGGUAUAGACCCGAAACCCGGUGAUCUAGCCAUGGGCAGGUUGAAGGUUGGGUAACACUAACUGGAGGACCGAACCGACUAAUGUUGAAAAAUUAGCGGAUGACUUGUGGCUGGGGGUGAAAGGCCAAUCAAACCGGGAGAUAGCUGGUUCUCCCCGAAAGCUAUUUAGGUAGCGCCUCGUGAACUCAUCUUCGGGGGUAGAGCACUGUUUCGGCUAGGGGGCCAUCCCGGCUUACCAAACCGAUGCAAACUCCGAAUACCGAAGAAUGUUAUCACGGGAGACACACGGCGGGUGCUAACGUCCGUCGUGAAGAGGGAAACAACCCAGACCGCCAGCUAAGGUCCCAAAGUCAUGGUUAAGUGGGAAACGAUGUGGGAAGGCAUAGACAGCCAGGAUGUUGGCUUAGAAGCAGCCAUCAUUUAAAGAAAGCGUAAUAGCUCACUGGUCGAGUCGGCCUGCGCGGAAGAUGUAACGGGGCUAAACCAUGCACCGAAGCUGCGGCAGCGACGCUUAGGCGUUGUUGGGUAGGGGAGCGUUCUGUAAGCCGUUGAAGGUGGCCUGUGAGGGUUGCUGGAGGUAUCAGAAGUGCGAAUGCUGACAUAAGUAACGAUAAAGCGGGUGAAAAGCCCGCUCGCCGGAAGACCAAGGGUUCCUGUCCAACGUUAAUCGGGGCAGGGUGAGUCGACCCCUAAGGCGAGGCUGAAAAGCGUAGUCGAUGGGAAACAGGUUAAUAUUCCUGUACUUGGUGUUACUGCGAAGGGGGGACGGAGAAGGCUAGGCUAGCCGGGCGACGGUUGUCCCGGUUUAAGCGUGUAGGGGGUGUGACCUGGUAAAUCCGGUUACAUACUAACCCUGAGGCGUGAUGACGAUGCACUACGGUGCAGAAGUAGUUGAUGCCCUGCUUCCAGGAAAAGCCUCUAAGCUCUAGGUAACAUUGAAUCGUACCCCAAACCGACACAGGUGGUCAGGUAGAGAAUACCAAGGCGCUUGAGAGAACUCGGGUGAAGGAACUAGGCAAAAUGGUGCCGUAACUUCGGGAGAAGGCACGCUGGCAUGUAGGUGAAGUCCUUCGCGGAUGGAGCUGAAGCCAGUCGAAGAUACCAGCUGGCUGCAACUGUUUAAUAAAAACACAGCACUGUGCAAACACGAAAGUGGACGUAUACGGUGUGACGCCUGCCCGGUGCUGGAAGGUUAAUUGAUGGGGUCAGCCGCAAGGCGAAGCUCUUGAUCGAAGCCCCAGUAAACGGCGGCCGUAACUAUAACGGUCCUAAGGUAGCGAAAUUCCUUGUCGGGUAAGUUCCGACCUGCACGAAUGGCGUAAUGAUGGCCAGGCUGUCUCCACCCGAGACUCAGUGAAAUUGAACUCGCUGUGAAGAUGCAGUGUACCCGCGGCAAGACGGAAAGACCCCGUGAACCUUUACUAUAGCUUGACACUGAACAUUGAGCCUUGAUGUGUAGGAUAGGUGGGAGGCUUUGAAGCGUGGACGCCAGUCUGCGUGGAGCCAUCCUUGAAAUACCACCCUUUAAUGUUUGAUGUUCUAACUCGGCCCCAUAAUCUGGGGUGAGGACAGUGUCUGGUGGGUAGUUUGACUGGGGCGGUCUCCUCCCAAAGAGUAACGGAGGAGCACGAAGGUUAGCUAAUCACGGUCGGACAUCGUGAGGUUAGUGCAAAGGCAUAAGCUAGCUUGACUGCGAGAGUGACGGCUCGAGCAGGUACGAAAGUAGGUCUUAGUGAUCCGGUGGUUCUGAAUGGAAGGGCCAUCGCUCAACGGAUAAAAGGUACUCCGGGGAUAACAGGCUGAUACCGCCCAAGAGUUCAUAUCGACGGCGGUGUUUGGCACCUCGAUGUCGGCUCAUCACAUCCUGGGGCUGAAGUAGGUCCCAAGGGUAUGGCUGUUCGCCAUUUAAAGUGGUACGCGAGCUGGGUUUAGAACGUCGUGAGACAGUUCGGUCCCUAUCUGCCGUGGGCGUUGGAAGAUUGAGAGGGGUUGCUCCUAGUACGAGAGGACCGGAGUGAACGCACCACUGGUGUUCGGGUUGUCAUGCCAAUGGCAUUGCCCGGUAGCUAAGUGCGGAAAAGAUAAGCGCUGAAAGCAUCUAAGCGCGAAACUUGCCUCAAGAUGAGUCUUCCCUGGGCCUUCAAGGCCCCUGAAGGAACGUUUAAGACUAAGACGUUGAUAGGCUGGGUGUGUAAGUGCAGCGAUGCAUUGAGCUAACCAGUACUAAUGAUCCGUGAGGCUUAACCUUACAACACCGAAGGUGUUU
RNAcentral lists this ribosomal RNA (2935 nucleotides) under Serratia marcescens. Its description in RNAcentral is "bacterial LSU rRNA". It matches the Rfam family "Bacterial large subunit ribosomal RNA". Lineage: Bacteria; Pseudomonadati; Pseudomonadota; Gammaproteobacteria; Enterobacterales; Yersiniaceae. The record is from RNAcentral.